AGAUAAUUAGAUCUGGUUGUUAUUCGGCUCUUUUGGAUUAUUCUUCUUUCCCAUGUUUUGGUAAUCCUUCCCACUUACCCCUGACUAGAUUUCUUUUGGCUUUGUGCUCCAUCUUUGUAGGUCGUCGCCUUGCUUGGAUUGCCGCGUUGGGUGGCCGCGGCUGCUUUCGUUGGCCUGUUGUCCGGGUGUGUACACGUGGUUAUCUGCUGGUGUGGGUUGGUAGUUGUGGCUGUCUCUCUGUCAGGUACCUCUCUUUGCAUGUUUCAUAUCACCGCGCGUUCAUCUCUUCCAUGUAUACAUUAUUCCCUGUGCUAAUCGUUGAAAAUUGUAUGCUUCAACAUUGCCUUCUGGGUUUUUAUUCUUCUUUUGUGUGCAUUGCCUUCUUUUGGCUGUUUCGGCUGUGUACGUGAUGUUCACUCUCUGCCAUUUCCCGCUGCAUUUGCUCCUGUACAUAGGUAAGCUUAAUUUGCCCUUCCCUAUAUGCAUUGCCUUAAUUUUCCUCUGCAUUUGCCGUGUUGUCUUUCUUUGCUCUUGCCUGCAGGCAGUAGUUUUCUUGCCCUCUGCGGUUGCUCUUCUCUACAUAUGGUAUCUUACUUAUUUGCUUGUGUUGCUCCGCAGUUUCUUUGUCCUUUAAUUCUGUUCAAAUUGUGCUAUGAGCUGUUCUAACAUGCGUGCAUGUCUCAGCUGUGAUAUGUUGUUUGCAAUUGAUGUUUCUUUCAGGUUAUUUGCUGGUCUAAGCUGUUGCUGGGACUGUGUGUGAGCUGUUGUUGGGGCUCCUUGUUUGUUAGGUAGUGAUCUCUGCCCAUUUUAUAUCAGCGCCUGUUUAUCUCUUGCUUACAUGGAUUUUAUCUUUGUUAAUGACUGAAUGCUAUGUUCCUAAUGAAAGUGUGCCUUCUGGGUUUUCCCCUGCUUUGGUGUGUGUCCCCUUCUUGCAUUUAUUUAUUUUGUGCCACAUGAUGUUUGUUGUCUGCUAUUUCCCUCUGCAUUUGUUCGAGUUGGUUGCUUCCCACUGCCACUUUUCGUACCUUCCUACCUGCAUGUAAAUAACUUUGUUUGGGUAACGGUUGCCCAGCUUCUUAAAUGCCAAUGUGUGUUUAAUAUCACAUUUAAUUACCAUGUUUUCCAUCUACUCCACUGCAGAAUCUACUAGCUUGAAGCUUCUAUUAUCCUAUUUCAAAAAUUGAACGAGUACGGAGAAAGUAGCGGAGGGGAUGUUAAUCCCUAGAACAUAAUUUCUUUCCUUUCUUGUUGUUUGUCUCCAGUGGAUGCAUGUCAGGUAACUCCACUGCAGAAUCUACUAGCAUGCUACUAAAGCUUCUAUUAUCCCUAGAAUGAGCAUAUUUGCAUGAGAACAAAUAAGAAGCCAUCAAAUGAGGAUGAGUAUCUCCAUGGAAUAGCUAGAAGAUAUAGAUAUGACAUUGUAUCUAUUACAUCUACGAGUGAGGUAGUGGAUCCCGAUAAAUUGCUACAUUUUGCCGAAUUUGAUUUACAUGGUGGAUAUUUGCAAGUUCUCUUCAGCAGUAAUCUUGCACACUAAUCCUGAUACCUGCUUUGCAUCUCUCCAGCAUGCAUAUGAGUUUACUGUAGAAAAUAUGCAUGUUCAUGUACGGUUCGAGCUGUUAAACAGCUGACCGGGCCUGUUCCACUUUAAACUGGACUAUCUAUACAUGGUCCUGUAUAAAUUAUUAUUCCCUCCUACCCAUAAUAAGUGUUGUGGUUUUAGUUCAAGUUUGACUAAAAAUGAACUAAAACCACGACACUUACUAUAUAUCAAAGGGAGUAUCUAUUACGUUUAAACAUCGGAUUGGCAAUGGAGAAGCAGAACUGUUGGAAUUUAUAUUCUCGAUAAAAUAUAGCUGAUUUUGUUGCAUUGAUCUGUGGAGAGUCGUUGCUGAAGGCAUUUUCCUUUAUUUUGAUUCAUGUGCUAUGUUUUUGUAUACUUCGAUUUUUUAAGUCCUCGAAGUAAAUUUCGCUUCUUUUAUGCAACCCUAGAAGCCUGAAAAAUACUCAGUUCUUAUAUUCACAACCUGGUUAAUGUGGUUUUCCAAGUCUUUAAUAAUACGUUCCAUGUUUUAUUUUCCUUUGUAUGUAAAUACUAUUUACUUGCUUGAGGUACAGUUUUAGAUCGUCGACACUUAAUCCAUCUUGGUCAUAUCAGGAUAGAGUGUCGCAGCUUCUCUCCAGUGGAGAGCUUCUCUGUGCCAGACCUGGCUGGGCAUAGGUUGACAGGUUUUGUAGCCAGCUUCAGAUUGGUCUGACUUGUGCCAAUGGAUGAGGUAUGGAAAUAGUAUUCUUAUUUUUCCAAGCUGGUAUAUUGAUUUCAUUCAUCCUACUUCUGAAUAAACAUGAGAAGUUGAUCCAAGAAGCAGAUGUUAUUUGGUAUGCUCAUGUUCAUUUAUCAUGUUGUUAAGGCCUAACAUUACGAAACUAUGCUACAUAUGAGGGUAAGUAAAUCAGGUCUUGCUAUAUCUGAAUAUGCUAUGGAAUAAAGAAAUUAUAAUAACUUUUUUGAUGGCACGCUGUUAGUUCUGAAUGAUCAAUUUUGAAGCGUCUCAUGAGUUAUAGCAUGGAAAAAACCGUGACCAAUACUCCUGAAACACUUCAACAAGGGGAUGGUCAGCUCCUACUUUUUAAAAUGAGAUGUUGGUUAGGAUACAAACGAAUCAUUUUAUGUUUCUCUUUUUUCUGAUUAAUAUGACUAACUUUUUCCUUAUAUGUGGAUACAAAUAUUUGUGCAAAAUCUGUGGCGGCUGAUAUUCUUGGUAGUUUGCUAUAUCCUAGGUACCAUGCAAUACUAAUCUGUGUAUGUUAUUUUGGGAAGAAAAUUAAUUGGGAACUUUCAGAUAAUUCUGCUUCAAACAUAUGCUAUCUUUCUUAUGUUUGAUUUUUCAUAUUCUUUCGCUUAACUUCUCUGGUUAUUUUUAGGCAACCUCGGUCAGUAGAGAUUGUUCUAGAACUGAUAAUAUUUGUAUUUUAGGCCUAAGAUAUCUGUUUAUGGAUAACACAUUUAUUCAGUGUAAAACUACUCUUCCUAUUGUCAGGUCCCAUAACUCUUGUUUUUGAUGCAGUAUUAAAGAAUCUUAUAUGACAAGGAUAUACUGAAUAGUUUCCACUUGCCACUUGUGAUCAAACGGAAAAAAUGAUGGGCAGUUUUACUGCUAUUGUUGAACGAAAAGUUUGUUGCAACAUAUUGUCUUGGUUGUUUCUAAAUAGCACGCUUUGUUUUCUUAAAUUGGUCUACUUUACUUAACGAUGCUUAUAAGAUGACAAAAUUACUAUGUAAAUAGCAUUGGUAAGCUGACAUUUUUGACAAGAGAAAACAUCCAGGUAUGUCAUGGGUUAUAUCAGAACUUAAUUUAUACAUAACUCUUAACAACAAUUCUAUUGCGUCUCUUUUUUAGCUAAAUGAUCAUGCGGGCAUUUUCUAUCUAUUUAAUCAGACUGCAUAAUUAAACUAUUUUGGUUGUUCUCUGAAAUAUCAUUUCCAUGCUUUACGCAACUAUUGCUUCACUAUGCCCCUAUUUAUUUAAUCAUUUCAUUGCCUAUAAUUAAUUUUUCUCUCUCCCUCGAUUUCAUACUUCUAACAGCAGCAAUUCAAAAUGAGAGAAACUUUACAUUUCUGAAACUAGAAAAUUCUGUUUUCAAUGGUGUUUCGUGACCAUUUACUUUGUUGUCUCUUCGUGCUCCAAUAGACUAAGAAAUAUUCGUUUAUUUCUUUUCAGUUUAUGCUAUGCAUCUUUCCCAGAUAGGCUACCAAUAUAUUUAUAUAUCUGAACGUUGAAAUGUUAGGGAAACAGGUUUGUCAGUGGUGCUCAUUUGGCAGCCCCAAAAUUCAGUCCGAUGGAGGUAAGCAGGGCGCCAUAUUGAACAAUCAUGCUCAAAUGAACAUUUGUCCUUGAUGUGGGAGUGCGGUGUCGCAUAAUAUUGUGCCUUACUGCAUAAAAAGGAAUAUUUGGUGUUGGUGAUUGUGUGGAACAUUUGGGUAGAUGAACCAGAUAGAAACUUUGUGUUAAAGUUUAUAUUAUAAUUCCCCUCUUGUUUGGUGGUUAUUGGUCUUUGAUGUGUAAGUGUGGUGUUGCAUAAUAUUAUGUAUUACUCCCUAAAAAUGAAUAUUUGGUGGCGGUGAUUGUGCGAAACUUUUUGGUAGAUGACCAAGAUAGAAACUUCCUGUUAAAUUUAUAUUAAAUUCUCCUCCAAUUUGUUGGAUAUUUCGAUAUGGCCUAGACUGAAAAAGCUAUCAGUAUUUGCUUGUGUCGGCCUCUUCUGACCAUGCACAUGCUUCGCAAAUGUAGCCAUUACCACCGAUGUCUUCUCUUUAACUGUUGUUGAUUCCUGUUUUCCUAGAACAUUCACUUUUGGUGAUGCAGGUUUCAAGUAGGUGUUUGUUUCCUGUUGACUGCGUGUCGUGGCCUAUGACCGUGUUCCUUUUGUUGUUGGCAUGUAGAUAUGAACAAAGUGUUCGUUGCGUUGAUGCUCGUGGGUAGCUUAUGUGUGUGCUUUGUUCAGAAAAUAGACAUUUGUAAAUUCCUUGUUAAGGCACGAAUGGGUUGUAUCUAUACAAAUUGUUAUGCACUUUUGUAAUAUACUUGUUGUUGAUUAUUACCUUUUCAGUUCACAGUUAUGUCGUUUUUGUGUUAUCUCCACCACUCAAAUAAAUUGGACUGAUUUGUGUGUAUUUAAUUCAUGUUAGUUGCGAUUCACUUGAUGCUUGCUUAAAAUCAUUCUUUUAUAAAUGCUUAAUGUAGAGUUUUAUAAAAUGAUUAGCUAUAAGAUUAAGCUUGAUGUAGCAAAUCUGUUGUAUAGUGC
Molecule: non-coding RNA, 4806 nt
Organism: Lolium perenne
Lineage: Eukaryota; Viridiplantae; Streptophyta; Magnoliopsida; Poales; Poaceae
Source: RefSeq, a predicted model, not a curated record